CGGUGUUUAACUGGCGUGAUGUGGGACGUCCUACCGGUGGGCUUAGCCUCGCGAGGGGCGGCCCAACUAAUAUCCCGUCGCGGUGCUCUUUACUGAGUGUCGAGUCGGGCCGGUACGUUUACUUUGAACAAAUUAGAGUGCUUAAAGCAGCUAUCCUCGCCUGAAUACUGCGUGCAUGGGAAUAUGGGAUAGGACCUCGGUUCUAUUUUUGUUGGUUUUCGGAACCCCGAGGUAAUGAUUAAUAGGGACAGAUGGGGGCAUUCGUAUGCGACGUUAGAGGUGAAAUUCUUGGAUCGUCGCAAGACGGACAGAAGCGAAAGCAUUUGCCAAAAAUGUUUUCAUUAAUCAAGAACGAAAGUUAGAGGUUCGAAGGCGAUCAGAUACCGCCCUAGUUCUAACCAUAAACGAUGCCAGCUAGCGAUCCGCCGAAGUUCCUCCGAUGACUCGGCGGGCAGCUUCCGGGAAACCAAAGCUUUUGGGUUCCGGGGGAAGUAUGGUUGCAAAGCUGAAACUUAAAGGAAUUGACGGAAGGGCACCACCAGGAGUGGAGCCUGCGGCUUAAUUUGACUCAACACGGGAAACCUCACCAGGCCCAGACACCGGAAGGAUUGACAGAUUGAUAGCUCUUUCUUGAUUCGGUGGGUGGUGGUGCAUGGCCGUUCUUAGUUGGUGGAGCGAUUUGUCUGGUUAAUUCCGAUAACGAACGAGACUCUAGCCUGCUAAAUAGGCGUACCUUAUGGUAUCGCGAAGGCCCCCGGCUUCGGCCGGUGGGUUUUUACUACCAACGUACAAACAAAUCUUCUUAGAGGGACAGGCGGCUUCUAGCCGCACGAGAUUGAGCAAUAACAGGUCUGUGAUGCCCUUAGAUGUUCUGGGCCGCACGCGCGCUACACUGAAGGAAUCAGCGUGUGU
This 912-nucleotide ribosomal RNA is filed under the name uncultured eukaryote. Its description in RNAcentral is "SSU rRNA". It matches the Rfam family "Eukaryotic small subunit ribosomal RNA", at positions 629 to 1522 of the family's 1831-position model. The record is from RNAcentral.